Molecule: transfer RNA, 77 nt
Filed under: Empedobacter falsenii
Lineage: Bacteria; Pseudomonadati; Bacteroidota; Flavobacteriia; Flavobacteriales; Weeksellaceae
Also listed under: 2 other names
Description: tRNA-Asp
Rfam family: tRNA
About the family: Transfer RNA (tRNA) molecules are approximately 80 nucleotides in length.
Source: RNAcentral
GAUCCGGUAGUUCAGCUGGUUAGAAUACUUGCCUGUCACGCAAGUGGUCGCGGGUUCGAGUCCCGUCCGGAUCGCCA